This 429-nucleotide ribosomal RNA is filed under the name Bacteroidota bacterium. Its description in RNAcentral is "Bacteroidetes bacterium partial 16S ribosomal RNA". It matches the Rfam family "Bacterial small subunit ribosomal RNA", at positions 355 to 776 of the family's 1533-position model. Lineage: Bacteria; Pseudomonadati; Bacteroidota. The record is from RNAcentral.
UAGGGAAUCUUCCGCAAUGGACGCAAGUCUGUCGGAGCAACGCCGCGUGAGUGAAGAAGGAUUUCGGUUCGUAAAACUCUGUUGUUAGAGAAGAACAGCGCAUAGAGUAACUGUUAUGCGUGUGACGGUAUCUAACCAGAAAGCCACGGCUAACUACGUGCCAGCAGCCGCGGUAAUACGUAGGUGGCAAGCGUUGUCCGGAUUUAUUGGGCGUAAAGCGCGCGCAGGCGGUCAAUUAAGUCUGAUGUGAAAGCCCCCGGCUCAACCGGGGAGGGUCAUUGGAAACUGGUUGACUUGAGUGCAGAAGAGGAGAGUGGAAUUCCAUGUGUAGCGGUGAAAUGCGGAGAUAUAUGGGGGAACACCAGUGGCGAAGGAGACUCUCUGGUCUGUAACUGACGCUGAGGCUCGAAAGCGUGGGUAGCAAACAGG